CCGGCACGGGUGAGUAACACGUAUCCAACCUGCCGUCUACUCUUGGACAGCCUUCUGAAAGGAAGAUUAAUACAAGAUGGCAUCAUGAGUCCGCAUGUUCACAUGAUUAAAGGUAUUCCGGUAGACGAUGGGGAUGCGUUCCAUUAGAUAGUAGGCGGGGUAACGGCCCACCUAGUCUUCGAUGGAUAGGGGUUCUGAGAGGAAGGUCCCCCACAUUGGGACUGAGACACGGCCCAA
Molecule: ribosomal RNA, 237 nt
Filed under: uncultured bacterium
Lineage: Bacteria
Description: partial 16S ribosomal RNA
Rfam family: Bacterial small subunit ribosomal RNA
Source: RNAcentral